AUCCUGGCUCAGAUUGAACGCUGGCGGCAGGGCUUAACACAUGCAAGUCGAGCGGGCGAGGUUGCUUCGGUAACUGAGCUAGCGGCGGACGGGUGAGUAAAGCUUAGGAAUCUGCCUAUUAGUGGGGGACAACAUUCCGAAAGGGAUGCUAAUACCGCAUACGUCCUACGGGAGAAAGCAGGGGAUCACUUGUGACCUUGCGCUAAUAGAUGAGCCUAAGUCGGAUUAGCUAGUUGGUGGGGUAAAGGCCUACCAAGGCGACGAUCUGUAGCGGGUCUGAGAGGAUGAUCCGCCACACUGGGACUGAGACACGGCCCAGACUCCUACGGGGAGCAGCAGAAGGG
RNAcentral lists this ribosomal RNA (344 nucleotides) under uncultured Acinetobacter sp. RNAcentral describes it as "bacterial SSU rRNA". It matches the Rfam family "Bacterial small subunit ribosomal RNA", at positions 16 to 359 of the family's 1533-position model. Lineage: Bacteria; Pseudomonadati; Pseudomonadota; Gammaproteobacteria; Moraxellales; Moraxellaceae. The record is from RNAcentral.